Molecule: long non-coding RNA, 233 nt
Filed under: Lathyrus oleraceus (garden pea)
Lineage: Eukaryota; Viridiplantae; Streptophyta; Magnoliopsida; Fabales; Fabaceae
Description: Pisum sativum (pea) long non-coding RNA (PSAT_LNC030859)
Source: RNAcentral
UUCCUUAAGCAACCAUUAAUAAGGUAGUCAUAACCUUUGAACAAAAUAAAAUAAAAAACAAAGAAAGAAAAAAGUCUGAUAAGUCGAACACCAGAAUAUGCGACUUAGGCAAGAAUUAGGGCAUCCUGGUGGAUUGAAAGCUUCAAAGAAGCGACCCAGGAAAAAAUUAUGGAUAAAAUAAAGAUAAAAGGAGAAAUUAAAGGAGGUCACUUAAAUCCUCAUCAAAAAACAAG